This 55-nucleotide transfer RNA is filed under the name Hemidactylus garnotii. Its description in RNAcentral is "partial tRNA-Cys". The record is from RNAcentral. Lineage: Eukaryota; Metazoa; Chordata; Lepidosauria; Squamata; Gekkonidae.
GGUGGAGGCACGUCGAAAUGCAAAUUCGGAGAGGCACCACAAGGUGCUCCGGCUU